GUACAUCACACAGCGUCUGGUCCUGUAGCUCUCAGGAGGGCACAACUCCCAGGAUCGACUCCAGGGCACCAAGGGAGAACACAAGACAAUGUUCGCCAGCAGCCAUAACACGAACCGUGACCCUGCAUCACAGCCGUGGUCCUGAGCACUGCCUGGCAGAAGCCAACACGAAACAUUGCUGACACAGAGGACAGUCAGGCAUACGAAUCUAGAUGGGGAAGACACAAUGCAAUCCUUCAGAGCACCAGCUCUGCCAGUGAGGACAGAAG
This is a long non-coding RNA of Numida meleagris (helmeted guineafowl), 269 nucleotides long. RefSeq lists it as uncharacterized. The record is from RefSeq and is a predicted model, not a curated record. The transcript has 3 exons. NCBI's taxonomy places the organism in Eukaryota, Metazoa, Chordata, Aves, Galliformes, Numididae.